RNAcentral lists this ribosomal RNA (258 nucleotides) under uncultured bacterium. RNAcentral's name for it is "partial 16S ribosomal RNA". It matches the Rfam family "Bacterial small subunit ribosomal RNA", at positions 1234 to 1500 of the family's 1533-position model. The record is from RNAcentral.
CAGGUACAGCGGGAAGCCACCUGGUGACAGGGAGCGGAACCCGAAAGCCUGUCUCAGUUCGGAUUGGAGUCUGCAACUCGACUCCAUGAAGCUGGAUUCGCUAGUAAUCGCGCAUCAGCCAUGGCGCGGUGAAUACGUUCCCGGGCCUUGUACACACCGCCCGUCAAGCCAUGGGAGCCGGGGGUGCCUGAAGUACGUGACCGCGAGGAGCGUCCUAGGGCAAAACUGGUGACUGGGGCUAAGUCGUAACAAGGUACC